GUAAUGGCAGGUCAGCAUACUGCCGUGAAUACGUUCCCGGGCCCUUGUACACACCGCCCGUCACACCAUGAGAGUUGGGAAUACCCGAAGCCUGUGAGCUAACUUUUAGAGGCAGCAGUCGAAGGUAGAAUCAAUGAUUGGGGUGAAGUCGUAACAAGGUAGC
RNAcentral lists this ribosomal RNA (163 nucleotides) under uncultured bacterium. RNAcentral describes it as "partial 16S ribosomal RNA". It matches the Rfam family "Bacterial small subunit ribosomal RNA", at positions 1338 to 1500 of the family's 1533-position model. The record is from RNAcentral.